This 253-nucleotide ribosomal RNA is filed under the name uncultured bacterium. Its description in RNAcentral is "partial 16S ribosomal RNA". It matches the Rfam family "Bacterial small subunit ribosomal RNA", at positions 524 to 776 of the family's 1533-position model. The record is from RNAcentral.
UACAGAGGGGGCAAGCGUUGUCCGGACUUACUGGGUGUAAAGCGCACGUAGGCGGCUCGGCAAGUCGGAUGUGAAAUCCCUCGGCCCAACCAAGGAAGUGCAUCCGAAACUGCUAAGCUUGAGUACUUAAGAGGAUCGCGGAAUUCCCGGUGUAGAGGUGAAAUUCGUAGAUAUCGGGAGGAACACCAGUGGCGAAGGCGGCUCUCUAGUACGGUACUGACGCUGAGACGCGAAAGCGUGGGGAGCGAACAGG